GCGAAGGUGGCGGAAUGGCAGACGCGCUGGGUUCAGGUUCCAGUGGGUAACACCGUGGGGGUUCAAGUCCCCCCCUUCGCA
Molecule: transfer RNA, 81 nt
Filed under: Polyangiaceae bacterium
Lineage: Bacteria; Pseudomonadati; Myxococcota; Polyangiales; Polyangiaceae
Also listed under: 4 other names
Description: tRNA-Leu
Rfam family: tRNA
About the family: Transfer RNA (tRNA) molecules are approximately 80 nucleotides in length.
Source: RNAcentral